Molecule: ribosomal RNA, 858 nt
Filed under: uncultured bacterium
Lineage: Bacteria
Description: bacterial SSU rRNA
Rfam family: Bacterial small subunit ribosomal RNA
Source: RNAcentral
GAUGAACGCUGGCGGCGUGGAUAAGGCAUGCAAGUCAAACGGGCCAUCUUCGGAUGGCUAGUGGCGAACGGGUUAGUAACACGUGGGUAACGAACCCCGGAGACGGGCACAACUUGGAGAAAUCCAAGCUAAUUCCCGAAGUCCCGGACUUUCUUAAGAAAGACCGGGUAAAAGGAAGUGGCAACACAACCGCUCUGGGAUCGGUCCGCGGCCUAUUAGCUUGUUGGUGGGGUAUAAGCCUACCAAGGCUAUGACGGGUAGGAGGCAUGAGAGUGUGUUCUCCAACAAGGUCACUGAGACACGGGGCCUACACCUACGGGUGGCAGCAGUCGAGAAUAUUUGGCAAUGGGGGAAACCCUGACCAUGCGACGCCGCGUGCUCGAAGAAGCCCUUCGGGGUGUAAAGAGCUUUUCUGGAGGAUGAACCUUCGGGUGACAGUACUCCAGGAAUAAAGGGACUCUAAUCACGUGCCAGCAGAGGCGGUAAUACGUGAUCCCUAAGUGUUAUCCGGAUUUAUUGGGCGUAAAGGGUCCGUAGGCGGCCAGAUAAGUCUAAGGUUAAAUACCUAGGGCUCAACCUUAGGGAUGCCUAGAAACUAUUUGGCUAGAGGGCGUUAGAGGAGGAUGGAACGCUCGGUGUAGGGGUGAAAUCCGUUGAUAUCGAGCGGAACACCAAAAGCGAAGGCAAUCCUCUGGGGCGACCCUGACGCUGAGGGACGAAAGCGUGGGGAGAGAACGGGAUUAGAUACCCCGGUAUUCCACGCUGUAAACGAUGGGCACUGGCUAUUUGAAGUGUCGACCCUUCAAGUGGCGAAGCUAACGCGUUAAGUGUCCCGCCUGGGAAGACGUCGGCAACGAU